GACGAACGCUGGCGGCGUGCUUAACACAUGCAAGUCGAACGAAGAGCGAUGGAAGCUUGCUUCUAUCAAUCUUAGUGGCGAACGGGUGAGUAACGCGUAAUCAACCUGCCCUUCAGAGGGGGACAACAGUUGGAAACGACUGCUCAUACCGCAUACGAUCUAAUCUCGGCAUCGAGGAUAGAUGAAAGGUGGCCUCUACAUGUAAGCCAUCACUGAAGGAGGGGAUUGUGUCUGAUUAGCUAGUUGGAGGGGUAACGGCCCACCAAGGCGAUGAUCAGUAGGCGGUCGGAGAGGAUGGACGGCCCCAAUGGGACGGAGACACGGCCCAGACUCCUACGGGAGGCAGCAGUGGGGAAUCUUCCGCAAUGGACGGAAGUCUGACGGAGCAACGCCGGGGGAGCGAUGACGGCCUUCGGGUUGGAAAGCUCUGUUAAUCGGGACGAAAGGCCUUCUUGCGAAUAGUGAGAAGGAUUGACGGUACCGGAAUAGAAAGCCACGGCUAACUACGUG
This 510-nucleotide ribosomal RNA is filed under the name uncultured bacterium. Its description in RNAcentral is "partial 16S ribosomal RNA". It matches the Rfam family "Bacterial small subunit ribosomal RNA", at positions 28 to 507 of the family's 1533-position model. The record is from RNAcentral.